AGGAAUUGGAGUUAGACAUGUUUGU
RNAcentral lists this non-coding RNA (25 nucleotides) under Cricetulus griseus (Chinese hamster). The record is from RNAcentral. Lineage: Eukaryota; Metazoa; Chordata; Mammalia; Rodentia; Cricetidae.